RNAcentral lists this long non-coding RNA (1195 nucleotides) under Prunus persica (peach). Its description in RNAcentral is "long non-coding RNA (PPER_LNC004003)". Lineage: Eukaryota; Viridiplantae; Streptophyta; Magnoliopsida; Rosales; Rosaceae. The record is from RNAcentral.
AACGAGUGAGGUAUGAUUUUCUAGCUAUUUUCCAUGCUCUAGCUGCUGGUUAGGUAGGAUUCCAGAAAUUCCAAGCGUAGAUCAUUCGAUUUUUCAAUCUAGGUUUCAGCCAGUUUUGAGAGUGUGAUUCCGGCCACUUUUUGAGGUAGGUCCAAGAACAAAAGUGGUUCCAAAAUGGGUGUUUUACCUAAGUUAGGAGUUUGGGCAGGCAGUUUGGAGUUUUUCCGGCCGCUAGGAAUUUCUCAAGCCACCCACGCGCUGCCGGCGCGUGUGGCAGUGCGUGGGCAGUUUGGUGGGGACCACACUCAGUCCUAAAAUGACCCUCGUGUUGUCACGAGCACGUAGGAUUUCGCGAAUCUUAAUUUGGAUAACGUAUGAACCCUGAACGGAUUUCGCAUCUUGUGUGAUUUUCGGGUUCAAUGGGUUCGAACCUUUGUUCGUGCGUUUGUGACCAAACCAACUGUCCGUUUGAGACCAGACUCUUGGGACUUGUGUCCUAGGUUUAACGGAACGUUAAUGUGGGCAUAGGAGUAACUUUAAUUAGAUGCACGCACUUCUAGGAGUCGGGGGUUAGGGUUUUAUUUAAAUAUUUAUAUCGAGCAGUUUUAUUAAUAUAUAUUAUUAUGAUAAUUGAAUCAGGCACCCGGGCACCAGUUGACCCGCAGGAGGGACCUUCAAAAGGUCCAGCGAGCUCGGACCAGCUGUGAGUGGACUUUUCUUUUAUAAGUAAUUUUAUGCAAAUGAAUUUCAUUAUUUGAUCUUGAAUAAGUUUUAUUGAUUAUGGUUUUCCUAGCAUGAUUUGUUGAAGUUAAAUAUCUUUAUUUAUAUGCUGCCAGUUGAAAAUGCUAAAAAGCUAUGGAAAGUAAAGAUUGAGAUAUAUAUCAAAUAAAAUGGCAGCAGCGUUCUAGAUUUAACAAAAAUUCAGUUAUUCAUCAGACCUUUCAGAAAUUUUAUAUUUUCUUAAACCACCUUAGGUACCCAGUUAUAGAAACAGGUUGCCUUCGGUAUAUGUUGCCUUCAGAUAUGACGAUGUCCACUGACAUCCAGUUUGCCUUCAGUUUUGUCAGCGCGCUUGACAUCUGCCUCAUGAGUUUCGGGGACGCCGGGACUGUGGGAGCCAGGAAUGUUGAUCAGGCUGACUACGGUCCCCUGAAUCCUACCAGUUUGCGGCUUGGGUUGACUUUGUGUCACCGAG